RNAcentral lists this ribosomal RNA (452 nucleotides) under uncultured bacterium. RNAcentral describes it as "bacterial SSU rRNA". It matches the Rfam family "Bacterial small subunit ribosomal RNA", at positions 29 to 526 of the family's 1533-position model. The record is from RNAcentral.
AGCGAACGCUGGCGGCAGGCUUAACACAUGCAAGUCGAACGCAUCCUUCGGGGUGAGUGGCAGACGGGUGAGUAACACGUGGGAACGUACCCUUCGAUCUGGGAUAACUUCGGGAAACUGGAGCUAAUACCGGAUACGCCCUUUGGGGGAAAGGUUUACUGUCGAAGGAUCGGCCCGCGUCUGAUUAGCUAGUUGGUGGGGUAACGGCCUACCAAGGCGACGAUCAGUAGCUGGUCUGAGAGGAUGAUCAGCCACACUGGGACUGAGACACGGCCCAGACUCCUACGGGAGGCAGCAGUGGGGAAUAUUGGACAAUGGGCGCAAGCCUGAUCCAGCCAUGCCGCGUGAGUGAUGAAGGCCUUAGGGUUGUAAAGCUCUUUUGUCCGGGACGAUAAUGACGGUACCGGAAGAAUAAGCCCCGGCUAACUUCGUGCCAGCCGCCGCCGUAAAAC